This is a small nucleolar RNA of Myodes glareolus (Bank vole), 76 nucleotides long. RefSeq annotates it as small nucleolar RNA SNORD81. NCBI's taxonomy places the organism in Eukaryota, Metazoa, Chordata, Mammalia, Rodentia, Cricetidae. The record is from RefSeq and is a predicted model, not a curated record.
CAGAAUAUGUGAUGAUCUCACCAUAACUUGAACUCUCUUACUGAUCACUUGAUGACUGUAAGGAUCUGAUAUUCUG